Molecule: long non-coding RNA, 3140 nt
Organism: Pogoniulus pusillus (Red-fronted tinkerbird)
Lineage: Eukaryota; Metazoa; Chordata; Aves; Piciformes; Lybiidae
Exons: 6
Source: RefSeq, a predicted model, not a curated record
AUCCAACCGACGGAGAAUCCACCAGACGCUUUGCGAUCCCCCAAGACAGCAUUGUCCUCUGGGACCACAAGGCAGCGGAGAAAAGAGAGAAGCAUGUGAGACGUGGAAACAAAAUGUUCUUGGCUGAGGGUGCACAGCCGUGGCCGGAGCUUCUCGAGGAGAUGAGAUGCAGCCAAAAUCCUUAGAUCAGAGCACGCUGAUAAAUCUUGCCCUUUACGAGCACUCUCCCACCUUCCCUGAACGUCACAGACAGGGAUUAGGGGUGGCCUUGUGGGUUCUUCUGCAAGCGGUCCUGCGGGCCUACGGGCAAAGCCAAGGGGCAAAGCUUGGCCCGGCAGCAGCAGCGGCAGCAGCCAGCAGAGGCCCCGCGAAGCCUCUUGUUCCCUGCCGCUCGGCUGCGUCCCCGGCGAUUCUCCCCUUCCCCGUCAGAGGGCGCUCCUCGGCCAUAUGUCGGCGGGCGGUGGCUCCGGGCUGUCCCGGCUCUGCUCCGCAGCUCCCCGCAAUGAAGGCUCUGAGGGGUGUCAGCCGCCGCCCUCUGCCUCUGCCGCGGCUCUCUGCCGCGAAGUUCCCUUCCACGGCUUCAUACGGCCGUGUAAUACUGUUAAUUUGCCGCGACCUCUGUGCUUAAUUUUUGGUUAGGAACCUAAAAGAGUGCUUCAGCAUCGCUAUCCGGGCAAUGUCACGCCUCUCCCUUCGCCCUGUUUUAAAACACGGGAUGAAAAAAAAAUGACUAAAAUUCCAGAACACGUCAGUGAAUGCCAGAUGCUCAACUGCAUGGUGUUGUGAAGCUAAAAUUCAGAUGGCAGUACGGAAGUGCUGAAGAAGUAAGAGGUUUUCCGCAUAGUAAAAUCUCAAGCAGACUGAAUUUUCUCUUCCUGUUCUGCUUACCUACCUCUCUUCUGAAAUGGCCAGCGUGGAUUCAUCAAAAGGAAGUCAUGCUUGGUCAAUCUGAUAACCUUCCACUAUGGUGUGACCAGCUGAGUAGGUGAGAGGAAAGAAGUGGAUGUUGUCUGUCUCACCUUCAAGAAUUUUGACACUGUUUCCCAUACCAUCCUCAUAGAGGGAACAAACAUUGCUUCAGCGGCAGGAAAGAGGGAGUGGAAGUGAACUGAAAAUGUCUGCUUUCUAAAGGAAGGAAAAAAGUCAAGAGGUUUUCUUCCAAAGAUGACUGCUCUUCAGGUACAUUGGGUGGGAUCCAAUGAAAUACUGUAUGUGAAGUGCACUCAAAAUAAAUUCAGGAAGGUGCUGAUGGGUCCCAGCAUGCAAGGAGAUCAAAGUAUGGGUGAUGAUGGUGGCAAAAAUGGAACUGAAGAGUCCAGCCAUCAGCACUGAGAAGUUUGAGAGAGGACAUCCGUGAUGCUGCUGAAGGUGGUUGCAUAGACUGAGACAGAGGCAGAGGAAGAAGAUGAAGAGCGUACAUGGAGAGGAAGUGCACUGGAAGAGAAGGCCAUGCAAGCUUGUGUGAGCAGAGUCAUUAAGAGCUCUUGUGGAGUAAAACUUCUGCCUGAAGUAGUCAUAAAGCCAAGGCUACUAUAGCAUUUUAUUUUAUCCCAUUUCCACUGUGUUUUGACUUGGCCUGAAAAACUGUCUUUUCCCAUACCACCGCUGCUGUUCUUCCAGUGUGUGAAAUGGUUUAUUUGAAGUUCUUCCCUUAGGGUUCCCACAUGAGGAGCCUUGUUGAGUAGAAAAUUUUAUAGCAACGUAUCACUUGCAUCCUUACUUUGGUUUGUUUUGUUAAUCUUAUUUUUUUAUUUUAGCUCCCUCUCUGUGUACUCCUCCAAUUCUCCUACUGCUUUCUGCUUCCAGCCUGUACUCUGAAUAUCCCAUAACGUGCUCAAUAAAAAUUGAAUAGUUUCCACUUAGAAUUCUAAAAAUGGUUUGGCAUUUCCAGAAAGUGACAGCGCCAAUAUUAUCGUCAGUCUCUUAUGCAAAUUGACACCCUGUUGCUACUUAACAAAGUAUCUCAUAUUCUUCCAAAACCAGGCUUCACAAUCUUGCACUCAGAUACUCUAAGACUUCUGGCCUUCCUACUGGAGGUGCUCAGGCCGUUGGAAUUAAUUGUUUGCUGCUGGCCAGAACAGAUACUAAUGAUAAAUUGCUAUGAGCUCUUGUCCUCUGAGGAGCUGUUCAUAUAAAACUUUUCCUGCUUCACUGUGCAUGCAUCUGGCUCAGCCCAUCAGAAUGUGGCAUGCCAUGCCAUUCUGUUACCAAAAAUGUUCAGUUCCAAUCUUGAAAGCCAAUUCAUGUUUGGUGGGUGACAUAAGGUCUAAGGGGUGAAACUUGGGCUGGCUACAUGGCAUGAUAGGCUCUCUUUUGCACAAGAAAAGACUAUCAUGCUUAAUUUUUUUUGUUUCAAUCUUAACUAAACUCAAGAGGGCUAGGGGGAAAAAAUCUGACUUUAUAAUAGAAGAAAUACAGCCAUCUCUGAAAAAUAUGGGCUCUGGUUGUAGGAAUAAUCUAGCUUCUCAUGCUAAACAAAGACAUUGAUUUUCCUUUCCUUCUAGGUAUCACACUUAACAUGACUUUUCCAAGCCUGGACGUAGCAUUGUUCCUAUAUAAACAAUUCUGUCUUUAGCAGCAAGGUUGCUUUUCUUUAUGUGAAUAGCACCCAUGCACUUUCAGUCAGAAUACCCUAACCAAGAAAGGACUUGAUUACAUUUUAAAGCGUGUUUUCCUCAUAAACUCUCCACUGUCUGCUCCAGACUGAAGACAAAAUGACUGCCUGUCUGAAGACAACAGAUGUCUCAGAGAUGUAAACGUUCAUCACCCUUGAAUCAAAGUGCCAGCAUAGCUGAAUAUACUGUCUUAUAAAGAUAAUAUCAACUGUCUUUGUGUUUGUUUGCUUUUUGUGUAGGGGUUUGAAAAUGCUUGUGAUAUUUAAACACCUCUUUAGAGUCAUUACAAGAUAUUGUGCAAAUAUAGUAAUUUUCCCCUAGUAAGCAGGCAUGAAAGGCACAUUAGCUUAUCAGAAUUAAACAGUUCCAGAGGAGGCCUUGAUGUCUGUCAGGUGAAUCAUCUAAUCUCCACAUUUAAUGUAUUGAACUGGGUAAGUAAGCCAUUUUUUGGGAGAUGUCUAAAUAUAUAUUUCCCUGAGAGGCUUUUUUCAGUCUCUUAAGGUAAAUAAAUAAUGUUUGAAUAAA